Molecule: unclassified non-coding RNA, 352 nt
Filed under: uncultured fungus
Lineage: Eukaryota; Fungi
Description: sequence contains ITS1
Rfam family: 5.8S ribosomal RNA (bases 1-101)
Source: RNAcentral
GAAAUGCGAUAUGUAAUGUGAAUUGCAGAAUUCCGUGAAUCAUCAAAUCUUUGAACGCACAUUGCACCUACUUUCGGGUAGGUAUGCCUGUUUGAGAAUCUAUAGUAAUUCUUUAGUCGAAUUUAUUUGACUGAGAUUUGGGGAUUCCGCUUUGGCGGUGCCCUUAAAUAUAUUACCUGGGUGACUAAAAGUCUGCCUCAGUGAUAAAGAUUGAAUAAGCUUUGGCUUUUCUGCUUUAGCACGGUUGCAGUUUGCUUUGAAAUCAGCUGGAUUCAACCAUAAAGCACUCGGAGUUAAAUCCAAGUGUUUGAACAAUGGUCUCAAAUCAGGUAGGAAGACCCGCUGAACUUAA